RNAcentral lists this non-coding RNA (148 nucleotides) under Homo sapiens (human). The record is from Rfam by way of RNAcentral. Lineage: Eukaryota; Metazoa; Chordata; Mammalia; Primates; Hominidae.
GCUGGGUAUGGUAGUGCAUGCCUGUAAUCCCAGCUACUUGGGAGGCUGAGGCAGAAGAAUCACUUGAACCCGGGAGCCAGAGGUUGCAGUGAGCCGAGAUCACGCCACUGCACUCCAGCCUGGGCAACAGAGUGAGACUCUGUCUCAA